RNAcentral lists this ribosomal RNA (331 nucleotides) under uncultured bacterium. Its description in RNAcentral is "bacterial SSU rRNA". It matches the Rfam family "Bacterial small subunit ribosomal RNA", at positions 568 to 898 of the family's 1533-position model. The record is from RNAcentral.
UGUGUAGGCGGUUGUUUAAGUUUGGUGUGAAAUCUCCCGGCUCAACUGGGAGGGUGCGCCGAAUACUGAAUGACUUGGAGUGCGGGAGAGGAAAGUGGAAUUCCUGGUGUAGCGGUGAAAUGCGUAGAUAUCAGGAGGAACACCGGUGGUGUAGACGGCUUUCUGGACCGUAACUGACGCUGAGACACGAAAGCGUGGGUAGCAAACAGGAUUAGAUACCCUGGUAGUCCACGCCCUAAACGAUGCAUAUUUGGUGUGGGCAGUUCAUUCUGUCCGUGCCGGAGCUAACGCGUUAAGUAUGCCGCCUGGGGAGUACAGUCGCAAGGCUGAA